UCGAAAUCGAACGGAAGAACGACCCGCGAACCGUCUUUGCGUAACGAACCGAGCUCGCGAGCAGCAAACGCUCGCGCGUCUCGUGUCGCGUCGGCGCGGUCCUCGAAAGGGCCACGCCGCACCGACAAACUAACAAUGUCAGCACGGAUCGUGCCAAGGAGCUGUACAUGCGAGAGUCGCCGUCCCAUGCCCCCGGUCCCCCUCGACUGGGGGCGGGUGACAUGCGCGAUCUCCGCUCUUAGUCUUAAUGACUCUCGGCAACGGAUAUCUCGGCUCUUGCAUCGAUGAAGAACGUAGCGAAAUGCGAUACUUGGUGUGAAUUGCAGAAUCCCGCGAACCAUCAAUUCUUUGAACGCAAGUUGCGCCCGAAGCCAUCCGGCCGAGGGCACGCCUGCCUGGGUGUCGUGAAUCCCCUUGCCCCCGGGCACCCGCACGAGCAUCGUCGCGGAUAUGCCCGGGCGCAGAAUAUGGUCUCCCGUCGGAUCGGCGUGCGCUGCACGUCGUGGGGCGGUUGGCCGAAAAUCGAGCAUUGCGACGUCGGGCUCCACGGCGUUCGGUGGAUCGAACGCGAUUGGCUGCGCCGUGGUCCCGUCAUGCCGCGGGCUCCGGACUACGACGAUUCCCGUG
This 627-nucleotide ribosomal RNA is filed under the name Pleroma urvilleanum (princess flower). RNAcentral describes it as "eukaryotic LSU rRNA". The stretch from base 250 to 405 matches the Rfam family "5.8S ribosomal RNA". The record is from RNAcentral. Lineage: Eukaryota; Viridiplantae; Streptophyta; Magnoliopsida; Myrtales; Melastomataceae.